GCAGCAGUAGGGAAUCUUCCGCAAUGGACGAAAGUCUGACGGAGCAACGCCGCGUGAGUGAUGAAGGCUUUCGGGUCGUAAAACUCUGUUGUUAGGGAAGAACAAGUGCUAGUUGAAUAAGCUGGCACCUUGACGGUACCUAACCAGAAAGCCACGGCUAACUACGUGCCAGCAGCCGCGGUAAUACGUAGGUGGCAAGCGUUAUCCGGAAUUAUUGGGCGUAAAGCGCGCGCAGGUGGUUUCUUAAGUCUGAUGUGAAAGCCCACGGCUCAACCGUGGAGGGUCAUUGGAAACUGGGAGACUUGAGUGCAGAAGAGGAAAGUGGAAUUCCAUGUGUAGCGGUGAAAUGCGUAGAGAUAUGGAGGAACACCAGUGGCGAAGGCGACUUUCUGGUCUGUAACUGACACUGAGGCGCGAAAGCGUGGGGAGCAAACAGGAUUAGAUACCCAGGUAGUCCACGCCGUAAACGAUGAGUGCUAAGUGUUAGAGGGUUUCCGCCCUUUAGUGCUGAAGUUAACGCAUUAAGCACUCCGCCUGGGGAGUACGGCCGCAAGGCUGAAACUCAAAGGAAUUGAC
This 576-nucleotide ribosomal RNA is filed under the name Bacillus mycoides. RNAcentral's name for it is "bacterial SSU rRNA". It matches the Rfam family "Bacterial small subunit ribosomal RNA", at positions 348 to 914 of the family's 1533-position model. Lineage: Bacteria; Bacillati; Bacillota; Bacilli; Caryophanales; Bacillaceae. The record is from RNAcentral.